RNAcentral lists this non-coding RNA (29 nucleotides) under Homo sapiens (human). Lineage: Eukaryota; Metazoa; Chordata; Mammalia; Primates; Hominidae. The record is from RNAcentral.
UCCCAGAGGAGGACUGGCUGGAGGUGAGA